This 193-nucleotide unclassified non-coding RNA is filed under the name soil metagenome. RNAcentral's name for it is "partial contains 5.8S ribosomal RNA, internal transcribed spacer 2, and large subunit ribosomal RNA". The record is from RNAcentral.
AACGCACGAGACCUGCGGACCUGCGGAGGGAUCAUUACCGAGUUAUCCAACUCCCAACCCCUGUGAAUUAUACCUCUAAUUGUUGCUUCGGCGGGACUUCGCGCCCGCCGGGGACCCAAACCUUCUGAAUUUUUUAAUAAGUAUCUUCUGAGUGGUUAAAAAAAUGAAUCAAAACUUUUAACAAUGGAUCUCU